Molecule: transfer RNA, 67 nt
Filed under: Ancistrocerus parietum
Lineage: Eukaryota; Metazoa; Arthropoda; Insecta; Hymenoptera; Vespidae
Description: tRNA-Pro
Source: RNAcentral
CAAGAAGUAGUUUAAUAAAAAAAUUUUAAUUUUGGAGAUUAAUGAUAUAAAGAUUUUAUUUUCUUGA